Raphanus sativus (radish) is the source of this 3212-nucleotide RNA transcript. It is a transcript of the gene named pantothenate kinase 2-like, with no coding region annotated. The transcript is spliced from 23 exons. Lineage: Eukaryota; Viridiplantae; Streptophyta; Magnoliopsida; Brassicales; Brassicaceae. The record is from RefSeq and is a predicted model, not a curated record.
UGAAAGUCUUCUCAGUUCGUGUUAUGUCUAAAUUCUCGACGAUACGGACAGGGUGAGCUGUGUUCUGGGGUUUCUAGUUUUGUUUGGGAAAGUUGGUGUUGGAAUUAAGCAGUUGUUGGUGAUCCGAUCUUUCUGUCUUUGUUUUCUUUCCAAAAAAUAUUUUAUAUAAAUAAAUUAAAAAGGAAUGGCUGGUCGAGGAGAUGAUGAGCAUGAUCCAAUUCUUGACGAAGCAAAAUCUAGUGAGAGAGAUAUGGCUCCUUCUGCUCUUCCUGGCACUUCAAUCCACAGAUCAGGCUCUAGGCCACAGCUUGAUCUAAGCAAAGCUGAGAUUCAGGGCAACUUCGAGGAGAGAGACCCCACCAUUCUCUUGCCUAAUCAGUCUGAUGAUAUCUCUCAUUUGGCUCUUGAUAUCGGAGGAUCGUUGAUAAAAUUGCUGUAUUUCUCAAGGCACGAGGACUACUACUCAAAUGAUGGUGAUAAGAGGAAGAAGACUAUCAAGGAGAGGUUGGGUUUAAGCAAUGGGAACUUGAGAAGCUAUCCUGUUCUUGGUGGGAGACUUCAUUUCGUUAAGUUUGAGACUCACAAGAUAAACGAGUGCUUGGACUUUAUCCACUCAAAGCAGCUUCAUCGCCGUGAUCCUUAUCCUUGGAGCUCGAAGACCCUGCCUUUGGGAACUGGUGUUAUCAAGGUCACAGGUGGUGGGGCUUAUAAAUUUGCGGACUUGUUCAAGGAACGGCUUGGCGUUAGUAUUGAAAAAGAAGAUGAAAUGCAUUGCCUUGUUUCUGGAGCUAAUUUUCUGCUCAAGGCUAUUCGACAUGAAGCCUACACGCACAUGGAGGCUGAGAAAGAAUUUAUACAGAUAGAUCCUAAUGAAUUGUAUCCUUAUCUUCUUGUUAACGUUGGAUCUGGUGUUAGCAUAAUCAAGGUUGAUGGGGAGGGAAAGUUUGAACGUGUAAGUGGGACUAAUGUUGGUGGUGGUACCUAUUGGGGCUUAGGAAGACUUCUAACUAAGUGCAAGAGUUUUGAUGAAUUGCUAGAACUCAGUCAAAAGGGAGACAACAGUACCAUUGACAUGCUUGUUGGUGAUAUUUAUGGUGGCAUGGAUUACUCCAAGUCCCUUAAACAGAUUGGCCUCUCUGCUUCAACUAUAGCUUCUAGUUUUGGCAAGGCCAUCUCUGAGAAUAAGGAACUAGAAGAUUACAGACCUGAAGACAUUUCCUUGUCUCUUCUGCGGAUGAUUUCAUACAAUAUUGGGCAGAUAUCUUAUUUAAACGCCCUUCGGUUUGGGUUGAAGAGAAUAUUUUUUGGAGGAUUUUUCAUAAGGGGACAUGCAUAUACCAUGGACACAAUCUCGUUUGCUGUUCAUUUCUGGUCGAAAGGUGAGAUGCAAGCUAUGUUCUUGAGGCAUGAAGGUUUUCUUGGUGCUAUGGGUGCGUUCAUGAGCUAUGAGAAGCAUGGAUUGGAUGAUUUAAUGUCACAUCAGUUGGUUGAGAGGUUCCCAAUGGGUGCACCAUACACUGGAGGAAAUAUCCAUGGACCACCACUUGGUGAUCUGAACGAGAAGAUUUCAUGGAUGGAGAAGUUUGUGCGUAGAGGAACUGAAAUAACUGCGCCUGUACCCAUGACUCCAUCUAAAACAACUGGACUUGGAGGCUUUGAUGUUCCUUCAUCCAGAGGUAGUGCUCUAAGAUCUGACGCCAGUGCUUUAAACGUUGGUGUUCUUCAUCUUGUGCCCACACUAGAAGUGUUCCCAUUGCUGGCUGACCCCAAAAUGUAUGAGCCUAACACCAUUGACCUAUCAGACCAAGGAGAACGAGAGUACUGGCUUAAAGUUUUGUCUGAGCAUUUGCCAGACCUGGUUGAUACGGCUGUUGCAAGUGAAGGAGGAACCGAGGAUGCCAAAAGGCGUGGUGAUGCUUUUGCUCGUGCCUUCUCUGCUCAUUUGGCAAGAUUAAUGGAAGAGCCAGCUGCAUAUGGAAAGCUGGGGCUAGCAAAUCUCUUGGAGCUUAGGGAAGAAUGCUUAAGGGAGUUCCAGUUUGUUGAUGCCUAUAGAAGCAUCAAGCUAAGGGAGAACGAAGCAUCACUUGCUGUAUUACCUGAUUUACUGGAGGAGCUUGACUCAAUGAGCGAGGAGGCAAGGUUGCUUACACUUAUAGAAGGUGUUUUAGCUGCAAACAUAUUUGACUGGGGAUCUCGAGCAUGUGUUGAUCUAUAUCACAAAGGAACCAUUAUUGAAAUAUACAGAAUGAGCCGCAACAAGAUGCAGAGACCGUGGAGGGUAGAUGAUUUUGAUGCUUUCAAAGAAAGGAUGCUUGGCUCUGGAGAUAAGCAGCCUCAUCGACAUAAAAGAGCGUUACUCUUUGUUGAUAACUCAGGAGCAGACGUCAUACUUGGGAUGCUUCCUCUUGCCAGAGAGUUUCUCCGCCGUGGGUCUGAAGUUGUUCUGGUGGCAAACUCUCUGCCUGCUCUCAACGAUGUGACCGCUAUGGAACUCCCUGAUAUAGUCGCUGGUGCUGCUAAGCACUGUGAUAUCUUGAGGAGAGCAGCAGAAAUGGGAGGCUUACUUGUGGAUGCGAUGGUGAAUCCAGGGGAUGAUGGGUCAAAGAAUGAUUCAACUUCAGCACCAUUGAUGGUUGUUGAAAAUGGAUGUGGAAGUCCUUGCAUUGACCUCAGACAAGUCAGCUCAGAGCUUGCAGCUGCUGCUAAAGAUGCUGAUCUUGUUGUCUUGGAAGGUAUGGGAAGAGCUCUUCACACCAACUUCAACGCUCAAUUCAAAUGUGAGGCGCUCAAGCUAGCAAUGGUUAAGAAUCAGAGAUUGGCUGAGAAGUUGAUAAAUGGAAACAUAUAUGACAGUGUUUGCAGAUAUGAGCCUCCCACUCUAUCUCAAAUAUGAUGUAUCAUACGCCAUAUAAGAGUGUGCUUGCCUCCGUAGUUUGUUGGCUCACUGUUGUAUACUACUUAUUAGUGUCCUACGCUAAUUUUUGAACAUUUUUCAUGUUAUAUACUUUGGACGCAACAUACAAUCCAGCCAUCAGUAGAACCGUUUGCUCCUCAUAAGUUUGCAAUUGUGGAACUCUCUAGCCUUUGAGUUUGAAGAAUGAGAAUGGAUUCAAGGAGAAGAUAUUAGGUGUGAGCAUCUCUCAAUGAACAAUAUACCUAACACAUUGAUAAUCCAAUUCAAUAAUAUCUGCUGAACGAGCAUUCAAGAUUCA